Molecule: ribosomal RNA, 266 nt
Filed under: uncultured bacterium
Lineage: Bacteria
Description: partial 16S ribosomal RNA
Rfam family: Bacterial small subunit ribosomal RNA
Source: RNAcentral
UAUCUUAGUGGCGGACGGGUGAGUAACGCGUGGGUAACCUGCCCCAUACCGGGGGGUACCACCUGGAAACAGGUGCUAAUACCGCAUAAGCGCACGGGAGCGCAUGCUCCUGUGUGAAAAACUCCGGUGGUAUGGGAUGGACCCGCGUCUGAUUAGCCAGUUGGCAGGGUAACGGCCUACCAAAGCGACGAUCAGUAGCCGGCCUGAGAGGGUGGACGGCCACAUUGGGACUGAGACACGGCCCAAACUCCUACGGAAGGCAGCAG